RNAcentral lists this ribosomal RNA (354 nucleotides) under Triticum aestivum (bread wheat). RNAcentral's name for it is "partial small subunit ribosomal RNA". Lineage: Eukaryota; Viridiplantae; Streptophyta; Magnoliopsida; Poales; Poaceae. The record is from RNAcentral.
AUGAAUGUGCUGUUUUCAUGUCUUUCGAUCUUGUGUAGAAUUUAUUUCCGUGUUCACGGAACAGAGGACCCGCUCGGAGUGUGGGAAAUCUUAGAGAAAAUGAUCUCGGUUUUCUACAUAAAGAAAAGCCAGAAUCUUGUGGGACGGAAAAGUAUCUUGGGAAAAUUUGUGGAUGUUCACAACAUAUGCCUAGAACCCCUAAAAAAAUAUGAAAACAGUUUUCAAAAGUUUCGUUUUUUUUUGUUUUGGGUCUUCACAACAUGUGUUUACAAUUUCUUAAAACUUCAGAAGAGAAACUUGAACUUUUUAGGAAUUGUCGACACAUAUGUUGUGAACAUUCACAUUGUUCCCUGA